Molecule: ribosomal RNA, 274 nt
Filed under: uncultured bacterium
Lineage: Bacteria
Description: partial 16S ribosomal RNA
Rfam family: Bacterial small subunit ribosomal RNA
Source: RNAcentral
AUACGGAGGGGGUUAGCGUUGUUCGGAAUUACUGGGCGUAAAGCGCACGUAGGCGGACUGGAAAGUAUGGGGUGAAAUCCCAGGGCUCAACCCUGGAACUGCCUCAUAAACUCCUGGUCUUGAGUUCGAGAGAGGUGAGUGGAAUUCCGAGUGUAGAGGUGAAAUUCGUAGAUAUUCGGAGGAACACCAGUGGCGAAGGCGGCUCACUGGCUCGAUACUGACGCUGAGGUACGAAAGUGUGGGGAGCAAACAGGAUUAGAAACCCUAGUAGUCC